GUAGGCAUAACCAAGCGGUGAAGGUAGCCCUCUGCAAAAGGGCGUCCGGUGGUUCGACUCCACCUGCCUACUCAA
This 75-nucleotide transfer RNA is filed under the name uncultured Cytophagales bacterium. Its description in RNAcentral is "tRNA-Cys-GCA". It matches the Rfam family "tRNA". Rfam says of the family: Transfer RNA (tRNA) molecules are approximately 80 nucleotides in length. Their secondary structure includes four short double-helical elements and three loops (D, anti-codon, and T loops). Lineage: Bacteria; Pseudomonadati; Bacteroidota; Sphingobacteriia; Sphingobacteriales. The record is from RNAcentral.